RNAcentral lists this small RNA (127 nucleotides) under Marmota monax (woodchuck). Lineage: Eukaryota; Metazoa; Chordata; Mammalia; Rodentia; Sciuridae. The record is from RNAcentral.
GCUAAGCAUGGUGGUGCAUGCCUAUAAUCCCAGCAACUCAGGAGGCUAAGGCAGGAGAAUUGCAAGUUCAAGGACAGCCUCAGCAAUUUAGUGAGGCCCUAAGCAAUUUAGUGAGACCCUGUCUCAA